UACGUAGGCAGCGAGCGUUGUUCGGAGUUACUGGGCGUAAAGGGUGUGUAGGCGGUUGUUUAAGUUUGGUGGGAAAUCUCCCGGCUCAACUGGGAGGGUGCGCCGAAUACUGAACGACUAGAGUGCGGGAGAGGAAAGUGGAAUUCCUGGUGUAGCGGUGAAAUGCGUAGAUAUCAGGAGGAACACCAAUUGCGAAGGCAGCUCGCUGGGACGUAACUGACGCUGAGACGCGAAAGCGUGGGGAGCAAACAGG
RNAcentral lists this ribosomal RNA (253 nucleotides) under uncultured bacterium. RNAcentral's name for it is "partial 16S ribosomal RNA". It matches the Rfam family "Bacterial small subunit ribosomal RNA", at positions 524 to 776 of the family's 1533-position model. The record is from RNAcentral.